Molecule: long non-coding RNA, 834 nt
Organism: Hibiscus syriacus
Lineage: Eukaryota; Viridiplantae; Streptophyta; Magnoliopsida; Malvales; Malvaceae
Exons: 4
Source: RefSeq, a predicted model, not a curated record
UCUGUCUAUUGGCACGCCUCUGCUUUUUGGCACGUCUUUUCUCUUUUGUUCUCGAUUCUAUAUCGCUUUCCAUGGCUGAUGUGGUGAAUGAGUUGACGAAUCUUUGCUAUUAAGGAGGAUGAAGCACUUGUUUUGGAAGAAGAAAAUCAUGCUUCUCCAAUUUCUUUUGUCCAUUGUUUUAUGGGAUCUUUCUUAACUGCUAGUGUAAUGAAUUUUGACUCCAUGCGAUUCACGCUAGCUAAUGUUUGGCACCCUCUAGGAGGAGUUUCUAUUUCAGAUCUGGGAGAUCGGCGCUACCUUUUUUGUUUAUAUCAUUCAAUAGAUAUUGAUAGAGUUGAAAGCGGUGGCCCUUGGGUUUUCAACUUCCACCUAUUGAUUUUACACAGGUUGAAAGAUAAUGAAGACCCAAUGAUUGUUCUUUUGUAUUUCUUAAAUAUGUGGGUUUUAGUGCAUGAUUUACUUAUUGGCUUUAUGUCUGAAUCGGUAGCCUAACAGUUAGGUAACUUUGUUGGUCUUUUCCUUGAAUAUGAUGCUAAGUUUUCCUCCAUGGGAUAUAAGGAUUAUGCGACUUCGAGCCCGUUUUGAUACUCUGUAAUAUCUCAAAAUCGAGAAGUAGACACGUGGAGAGGAGAAUAAAAAUUAGAAGACUCUGGAGAUGCUUGGCUUUCUUCUUCCUUUCUUCCCGUAGCUCCAUUGGUAAGAUAUCGAGCACGAACAAGUUCCGGGACGACUAUCAGGUUAAAAUUUGAUCGAAAGAAAUCAUAAAAUGGGAUUGGAACUUAGUGAGGCCAAGGUUACAGAAGCGAGAAGAAAAGCGAAGAAGAGCAAGACAGG